AGGGCACCACCAGGAGUGGAGCCUGCGGCUUAAUUUGACUCAACACGGGAAAACUUACCCGGCCCGGACACUGGAAGGAUUGACAGAUUGAGAGCUCUUUCUUGAUUCAGUGGGUGGUGGUGCAUGGCCGUUCUUAGUUGGUGGAGCGAUUUGUCUGGUUAAUUCCGAUAACGAACGAGACUCUAGCCUACUAAAUAGACUGCUCAACUUUAUAGCUGUAUCACCUUGCAGUUGCUUCGGUGGCUGUAAGGCUAUGGUGACGUUGGCAGUGCUUCUUAGAGGGACAGGCGGCGGUUCAGCCGCACGAAACAGAGCAAUAACAGGUCUGUGAUGCCCUUAGAUGUCCAGGGCCGCACGCGCGCUACACUGAAGUGAUCAGCGUGCAAUUAACGUUUCCUACUCCGUCAGGAGUGGGUAACCCGUUGAACCUUCUUCGUGAUUGGGAUAGGGGAUUGUAAUUAUUCCCCUUGAACGAGGAAUUCCCAGUAAGCGCAAGUCAUAAGCUUGCGUUGAUUACGU
This 519-nucleotide ribosomal RNA is filed under the name uncultured eukaryote. RNAcentral's name for it is "bacterial SSU rRNA". It matches the Rfam family "Eukaryotic small subunit ribosomal RNA", at positions 1161 to 1650 of the family's 1831-position model. The record is from RNAcentral.